UGUCACCUUCUAGAGAUCUAAGGCUUUAUAUAUAAUUCAAAAGAUACUGGGGACUGUCAGUAAAUCAUCGUAAAAUUCAACUUUUUUGAUUCAGACUCUGAAUCAAAACUUGAAAAAUUCAGUUAUUAGAAGAUUUUUGAAAAAAAGAGGCAUUGGAUCAUCAUGCAUUGGCUUGUUGAUGUUAUAGGCGGUAUAACAGGAGUGAUAUUGAUUAUUAUGGCUUACCGGCCCUCGGAGGGAGCAGCCCUAGAGCGUUAUCAUUACAGGGAUAAUGUUGAUAUGGAGGAUAAAUCCGACUAGCGAUCAGCAGCACUCCUCAUGGCCUGGCAAAUGUACCAAAUUUUUUACCCAUUUUUAAACAAAGUUCGCAACAUACAUAUUUUGUUAAUUCUUGGACCUCCAUGCGGCUGCUGUUUCAAAAUCAAUAAAUCCCAUUGAAGUUAA
This is a long non-coding RNA of Drosophila bipectinata, 444 nucleotides long. RefSeq lists it as uncharacterized. The record is from RefSeq and is a predicted model, not a curated record. NCBI's taxonomy places the organism in Eukaryota, Metazoa, Arthropoda, Insecta, Diptera, Drosophilidae.